GGCGAACGCUGGCGGCGUGCUUAACACAUGCAAGUCGAACGGUAAGGCUCCAGCUUGCUGGGGUACACGAGUGGCGAACGGGUGAGUAACACGUGGGUGACCUGCCCUGCACUUCGGGAUAAGCCUGGGAAACUGGGUCUAAUACCGGAUAGGACCGCACCGUGAGGGUGUGGUGGAAAGUUUUUUCGGUGUGGGAUGGGCCCGCGGCCUAUCAGCUUGUUGGUGGGGUAAUGGCCUACCAAGGCGGCGACGGGUAGCCGGCCUGAGAGGGUGGACGGCCACAUUGGGACUGAGACACGGCCCAGACUCCUACGGGAGGCAGCAGUGGGGAAUAUUGCACAAUGGGCGGAAGCCUGAUGCAGCGACGCCGCGUGGGGGAUGACGGCCUUCGGGUUGUAAACUCCUUUCACCAUCGACGAAGGGUUUCUGACGGUAGAUGGAGAAGAAGCACCGGCUAACUACGUGCCAGCAGCCGCGGUAAUACGUAGGGUGCGAGCGUUGUCCGGAAUUACUGGGCGUAAAGAGCUCGUAGGUGGUUUGUCGCGUCGUCUGUGAAAUUCCGGGGCUUAACUCCGGGCGUGCAGGCGAUACGGGCAUAACUUGAGUACUGUAGGGGAGACUGGAAUUCCUGGUGUAGCGGUGAAAUGCGCAGAUAUCAGGAGGAACACCGGUGGCGAAGGCGGGUCUCUGGGCAGUAACUGACGCUGAGGAGCGAAAGCAUGGGGAGCGAACAGGAUUAGAUACCCUGGUAGUCCAUGCCGUAAACGGUGGGCGCUAGGUGUGGGUUUCCUUCCACGGGAUCCGUGCCGUAGCUAACGCAUUAAGCGCCCCGCCUGGGGAGUACGGCCGCAAGGCUAAAACUCAAAGGAAUUGACGGGGGCCCGCACAAGCGGCGGAGCAUGUGGAUUAAUUCGACGCAGCGCGAAGAACCUUACCUGGGCUUGACAUAUACAGGAUCGCGCCAGAGAUGGUGUUUCCCUUGUGGCUUGUAUACAGGUGGUGCAUGGUUGUCGUCAGCUCGUGUCGUGAGAUGUUGGGUUAAGUCCCGCAACGAGCGCAACCCUUGUCUUAUGUUGCCAGCACGUUGUGGUGGGGACUCGUAAGAAACUGCCGGGGUUAACUCGGAGGAAGGUGGGGAUGACGUCAAAUCAUCAUGCCCCUUAUGUCCAGGGCUUCACACAUGCUACAAUGGUCGGUACAGUGGGUUGCCAGUCCGUGAGGGCGAGCUAAUCCCGCAAAGCCGGUCUCAGUUCGGAUCGGGGUCUGCAACUCGACCCCGUGAAGUCGGAGUCGCUAGUAAUCGCAGAUCAGCAACGCUGCGGUGAAUACGUUCCCGGGCCU
This 1341-nucleotide ribosomal RNA is filed under the name uncultured bacterium. RNAcentral describes it as "16S ribosomal RNA". It matches the Rfam family "Bacterial small subunit ribosomal RNA", at positions 28 to 1381 of the family's 1533-position model. The record is from RNAcentral.